Molecule: unclassified non-coding RNA, 377 nt
Filed under: uncultured Micrococcales bacterium
Lineage: Bacteria; Bacillati; Actinomycetota; Actinomycetes; Micrococcales
Description: contains 16S-23S intergenic spacer region
Source: RNAcentral
UCCGAGUUGACCCCGGCAGUCUCCCAUGAGUCCCCACCAUUACGUGCUGGCAACAUGGAACGAGGGUUGCGCUCGUUGCGGGACUUAACCCAACAUCUCACGACACGAGCUGACGACAACCAUGCACCACCUGUACACCAACCAAAAGGAAACAACAUCUCUGCUGCGAUCUGGUGUAUGUCAAGCCUUGGUAAGGUUCUUCGCGUUGCAUCGAAUUAAUCCGCAUGCUCCGCCGCUUGUGCGGGCCCCCGUCAAUUCCUUUGAGUUUUAGCCUUGCGGCCGUACUCCCCAGGCGGGGCGCUUAAUGCGUUAGCUACGGCACAGACCUCGUGGAAUGAGGCCCACACCUAGCGCCCAACGUUUACGGCAUGGACUAC